This 464-nucleotide ribosomal RNA is filed under the name uncultured bacterium. RNAcentral's name for it is "partial 16S ribosomal RNA". It matches the Rfam family "Bacterial small subunit ribosomal RNA", at positions 28 to 506 of the family's 1533-position model. The record is from RNAcentral.
GACGAACGCUGGCGGCGUGCUUAACACAUGCAAGUUGAACGGAAAGGCCCCUUCGGGGGUACUCGAGUGGCGAACGGGUGAGUAACACGUGAGUAACCUGCCCUUGACUUCGGGAUAACUUCAGGAAACUGGGGCUAAUACCGGAUAGGAAUCCUUGCUGCAUGGUGGGGGUUGGAAAGCUUCGGCGGUUUUGGAUGGACUCGCGGCUUAUCAGCUUGUUGGUGGGGUAGUGGCUUACCAAGGCUUUGACGGGUAGCCGGCCUGAGAGGGCGACCGGCCACAUUGGGACUGAGAUACGGCCCAGACUCCUACGGGAGGCAGCAGUGGGGAAUAUUGCACAAUGGGCGGAAGCCUGAUGCAGCAACGCCGCGUGCGGGAUGACGGCCUUCGGGUUGUAAACCGCUUUCAGCAGGGGCGAAGCUUGUGGUGACGGUACCUGCAGAAGAAGCACCGGCUAACUACGU